RNAcentral lists this ribosomal RNA (465 nucleotides) under uncultured bacterium. Its description in RNAcentral is "partial 16S ribosomal RNA". It matches the Rfam family "Bacterial small subunit ribosomal RNA", at positions 28 to 507 of the family's 1533-position model. The record is from RNAcentral.
GACGAACGCUGGCGGCGUGCUUAACACAUGCAAGUCGAACGGAAAGGCCCUGCUUGCCGGGUACUCGAGUGGCGAACGGGUGAGUAACACGUGGGUUAUCUGCCCUGCACUUCGGGAUAAGCCUGGGAAACUGGGUCUAAUACCGGAUAGGAGCCAUUUUUAGUGUGAUGGUUGGAAAGUUUUUUCGGUGUAGGAUGAGCUCGCGGCCUAUCAGCUUGUUGGUGGGGUAAUGGCCUACCAAGGCGGCGACGGGUAGCCGGCCUGGGAGGGUGGACAGCCACAGUGGGACUGAGAUACGGCCCAGACGCCUACGGGAGGCAGCAGUGGGGAAUAUUGCACAAUGGGCGCAAGCCUGAUGCAGCGACGCCGCGUGGGGGAUGACGGCCUUCGGGUUGUAAACUCCUUUCGCUAGGGACGAAGCUUUUUGUGACGGUACCUAGAUAAGAAGCACCGGCUAACUACGUG